This 545-nucleotide long non-coding RNA is filed under the name Olea europaea subsp. europaea. The record is from RNAcentral. Lineage: Eukaryota; Viridiplantae; Streptophyta; Magnoliopsida; Lamiales; Oleaceae.
GCAAUUCCAUAGAAUACAAAGUCUUGUUCAUUUCAAUGACGUGUUCAAUUCCGAAAGCUGCAAAUGACAGACCAUAUAUUACACAACAUCCUAGUAAAAUACAAAUACUAAUCAAGCCAACCCAUUCCCUUUCUUAUCCAUUUCCACACUUCCAUUGCCUUUGCAUAUUGUCACGUUUACAAAAAUUUCAAUGUCUUGUUCUUCCACUAACCGGCAAAGAGAUUGGAACGUGUGAGUUAUUUGUUGAACAUCUUCAAGUGCUGAUGAGUUAUUCAAGUUAAUGGUAUCAGUACUAGACUCGCUACUUGAUUAUUAGAGUUCGACCCAUUCCCAAUAUCUACAGUGAGCACCGCAGCAAUUGAACAACUUUCCCCUGUUCUUCGUCUCCUUUUCAACCUCAAAGCACUUCACAAAGUCAUGUCUACAGAAGGGGCGUCGCCGUUUGUUAGGGCAAUCAGCAAACAAGUGCCCUUCUCUCUACGGCUAAGGUAGAUUCCGGAGUUCUUUCCUGUCAUUCUAACAUAUGAACAACCAACAUAUUACCA